Molecule: ribosomal RNA, 427 nt
Filed under: uncultured bacterium
Lineage: Bacteria
Description: partial 16S ribosomal RNA
Rfam family: Bacterial small subunit ribosomal RNA
Source: RNAcentral
UGGGGAAUAUUGCACAUUGGGCGCAAGCCUGAUGCAGCCAUGCCGCGUGUGUGAAGAAGGCCUUCGGGUUGUAAAGCACUUUCAGCGAGGAGGAAGGGUAGUGUGUUAAUAGCACAUUGCAUUGACGUUACUCGCAGAAGAAGCACCGGCUAACUCCGUGCCAGCAGCCGCGGUAAUACGGAGGGUGCAAGCGUUAAUCGGAAUUACUGGGCGUAAAGCGCACGCAGGCGGUUUGUUAAGUCAGAUGUGAAAUCCCCGCGCUUAACGUGGGAACUGCAUUUGAAACUGGCAAGCUAGAGUCUUGUAGAGGGGGGUAGAAUUCCAGGUGUAGCGGUGAAAUGCGUAGAGAUCUGGAGGAAUACCGGUGGCGAAGGCGGCCCCCUGGACAAAGACUGACGCUCAGGUGCGAAAGCGUGGGGAGCAAACA